GUGUGUGUGUGUGUGUGUGUGUGUGUGUGUGUGUGUGUGUGUGUGUGUGUGUGUGUGUGUGUGUGUGUGUGUGUGUGUGUGUGUGUGUGUGUGUGUGUGUGUUGGUUUAUGUGAUUUACGAAGACAUUUCAUAUGAAUACACGCCACAUUAUGAGGACAUUUUCAAUUAUGAGGACAUGGUCGGAGUCCUCAUAAUUUUAGCAAUGUAGAAGUGCUUCUUUAAUGUAGAAGAGCUCAAAUCCAAAAUUUCUCCACAUGACUUUAUAGUUCACAUAAACCUGAUUUUGUGUAUUACGUGUGUAUUCGACAUGCGCCCCUGUAGCCCGGACUGAGUACUGCAUCCCCUCAUUAAUUAUGCAUGCGAGUGUAUGAAAUCGCGGCAUGUGAUUGGCUGACCAUCAAACGUCCUCAUAAUAACUGUAUCUGUCAAACAUCUGUGUAAACAAUAAUGAUUAAAAAAUAGUUUUAAAUAUGUAUAAAUAUGAAUUACGUUCUAAUUAAAUAAUAAAAAUCCCCCACUACCUUUAUAAGAUCAA
Molecule: non-coding RNA, 536 nt
Organism: Danio rerio (zebrafish)
Lineage: Eukaryota; Metazoa; Chordata; Actinopteri; Cypriniformes; Danionidae
Source: Ensembl